AAGAGACAGCAGUAGCCACGGGAAUACGAAGGGUGCAAGCGUUACUCGGAAUUACUGGGCGUAAAGCGUGCGUAGGUGGUGGUUUAAGUCCGUUGUGAAAGCCCUGGGCUCAACCUGGGAAUUGCAGUGGAUACUGGGUCACUAGAGUGUGGUAGAGGAUAGUGGAAUUUCCGGUGUAGCAGUGAAAUGCGUAGAGAUCGGAAGGAACAUCUGUGGCGAAGGCGACUAUCUGGGCCAACACUGACACUGAGGCACGAAAGCGUGGGGAGCAAACAGGAUUAGAUACCCGGGUAGUCCCUGUCUCUUAUAC
This 310-nucleotide ribosomal RNA is filed under the name uncultured bacterium. RNAcentral's name for it is "partial 16S ribosomal RNA". It matches the Rfam family "Bacterial small subunit ribosomal RNA", at positions 503 to 807 of the family's 1533-position model. The record is from RNAcentral.